This 857-nucleotide ribosomal RNA is filed under the name uncultured bacterium. RNAcentral's name for it is "bacterial SSU rRNA". It matches the Rfam family "Bacterial small subunit ribosomal RNA", at positions 61 to 923 of the family's 1533-position model. The record is from RNAcentral.
GUCGACGAAUCCCUGGGGGCUUGCUCUCAGGGGGAAGUGGCGAAAGGGGCAGUAAGGCGUGGGUAACCUACCCCGGGGACCGGGAUAGCCCUCCUAACGGAGGGGUAAUACCGGGCGAGGUGUUUGGAGGGCAUCCCCCGAACACGAAAUGAAUCUCGCCUUGGGAGGGGCUCACGUGGUAUUAGCUGGUUGGUGAGGUAACGGCUCACCAAGGCCAAGAUGCCUAGCGGGUGUGAGAGCACGACCCGCGCCACUGGCACUGAGACACUGGCCAGACUCCUACGGGAGGCUGCAGUCGAGGAUCUUCGGCAAUGGGCGCAAGCCUGACCGAGCGACGCCGCGUGUGCGAUGAAGGCCUUCGGGUUGUAAAGCACUGUCGAGGGGGAGGAAAGCCCGCAAGGGUCUGACCUAUCCCUGGAGGAAGCACGGGCUAAGUUCGUGCCAGCAGCCGCGGUAAGACGAACCGUGCGAACGUUGUUCGGAUUCACUGGGCUUAAAGGGCGCGUAGGCGGGUGGUCAAGUCAGGGGUGAAAGCCCACGGCUCAACCGUGGAAGUGCCUUUGAUACUGACUGUCUUGAGGGAGGUAGGGGCAUGCGGAACUUCCGGUGGAGCGGUGAAAUGCGUAGAUAUCGGAAGGAACGCCGGUGGCGAAAGCGGCGUGCUGGACCUCUUCUGACGCUGAGGCGCGAAAGCCAGGGGAGCGAACGGGAUUAGAUACCCCGGUAGUCCUGGCCCUAAACGAUGGGUACUAGGUAGUGGACUUAACAUGGGUUCCCUGCCGAAGCUAAAGUGGUAAGUACCCCGCCUGGGGAGUAUGGUCGCAAGGCUGAAACUCAAAGGAAUUGACGGGGGCUCA